Molecule: ribosomal RNA, 164 nt
Filed under: uncultured bacterium
Lineage: Bacteria
Description: partial 16S rRNA
Rfam family: Bacterial small subunit ribosomal RNA
Source: RNAcentral
UGGGGAAUAUUGCACAAUGGGCGCAAGCCUGAUGCAGCCAUGCCGCGUGUAUGAAGAAGGCCUUCGGGUUGUAAAGUACUUUCAGCGGGGAGGAAGGCGAUAAGGUUAAUAACCUUGUCGAUUGACGUUACCCGCAGAAGAAGCACCGGCUAACUCCGUGCCAG